CUCAUCAUCACUUUCACCAAAUCAUCUUUCUCUUUCACUAUGGCCAACAACAUCUCAGUGCAUGAAAGAAUAUGAUAACAACGUUUGUGACUCUGGUGUUGAUACUUCUCUUCACCUGUAGCAUUUAAAGUGAAUCUACGAAAUUGCGUCUAAUUGCAUCAUUGAUUGGAAGGAAAUACUACAUUCUUUUUAACACUUCCUACUACUUCAAGGAGAAGGAAGAUUGUGAACUUCUACUUUAGGGAGACACCAAUUAGACACAUUAAUAUAACUCACUGAUGUGUCUAAUAACUACGUCUAUCAUUGUUAAGUUUCGAACUAUGUGAAUUUAGCAUGUUAUAUAACUAUGUGAAUUUAAUAAAUAUGUAUAGAAGUACAAAUCUCUUUGAGGA
Cicer arietinum (chickpea) is the source of this 392-nucleotide non-coding RNA. NCBI's taxonomy places the organism in Eukaryota, Viridiplantae, Streptophyta, Magnoliopsida, Fabales, Fabaceae. The record is from RefSeq and is a predicted model, not a curated record.